GAAAUGCGAUAAGUAGUGUGAAUUGCAGAAUUCAGUGAAUCAUCGAAUCUUUGAACGCACAUUGCGCCCCUUGGUAUUCCAUGGGGCAUGCUUGUUCGAGCGUCAUUUGUACCCUCAAGCUCUGCUUGGUGUUGGGUGUUUGUCCCCGUCUCCGCGCGUGGACUCGCCCCAAAGUGAUUGGCAGCCAGCGUACUGGUCCCGGAGCGCAGCACAUGUCGCGCAAACGAGUGCCUUGGUACGGCGGCGUCCAUAAGCCCCUCUCUCACGCUCUUGACCUCGGAUCAGGUAGGGAUACCCGCUGAACUUAAGC
RNAcentral lists this unclassified non-coding RNA (310 nucleotides) under plant metagenome. Its description in RNAcentral is "partial contains 5.8S ribosomal RNA, internal transcribed spacer 2, and large subunit ribosomal RNA". The stretch from base 1 to 105 matches the Rfam family "5.8S ribosomal RNA", at positions 50 to 154 of the family's 154-position model. The record is from RNAcentral.